RNAcentral lists this unclassified non-coding RNA (301 nucleotides) under Glomeraceae sp. Its description in RNAcentral is "partial contains 5.8S ribosomal RNA and internal transcribed spacer 2". Lineage: Eukaryota; Fungi; Glomeromycota; Glomeromycetes; Glomerales; Glomeraceae. The record is from RNAcentral.
GGGAAGAAGGAAAGGGGGGAAAGAAAAUUGCACUCUCCUCGGAGAGUAUGCCUGUUUGAGGGUCAGCCUAUAAAAAAUCGACAUCGUUGCUGUUUCGCGGUGACGUUCGUCGGAAAUUGGGUCAUCUUAAAUCCUUUUGGUUUUAAGCGACUUAAAAUUUUCUUUUUGGUUCCAUGAACGUUUCUAAGAUUUAUUUCUUUACACGUUUAAGGGUAUCGAUUUUUAUUAGACGUGACCAUCAUAUCGGAUCGCGUCCAUAAUCUUUCAUUAACUGACCUCAGACAGGUAAGAGUACCCGCUU